This 254-nucleotide ribosomal RNA is filed under the name uncultured bacterium. RNAcentral describes it as "partial 16S ribosomal RNA". It matches the Rfam family "Bacterial small subunit ribosomal RNA", at positions 524 to 776 of the family's 1533-position model. The record is from RNAcentral.
UACGUAGGCAGCGAGCGUUGUUCGGAGUUACUGGGCGUAAAGGGUGUGUAGGCGGUUGUUUAAGUUUGGUGUGAAAUCUCCCGGCUCAACUGGGAGGGUGCGCCGAAUACUGAAUGACUUGGAGUGCGGGAGAGGAGAGUGGAACUCCUGGUGUAGCGGUGAAAUGCGUAGAUAUCAGGAGGAACACCGGUGGUGUAGACGGCUCUCUGGACCGUAACUGACGCUGAGACACGAAAGCGUGGGUAGCAAACAGG